Molecule: non-coding RNA, 1269 nt
Filed under: Oryza sativa Indica Group (long-grained rice)
Lineage: Eukaryota; Viridiplantae; Streptophyta; Magnoliopsida; Poales; Poaceae
Description: Archaeal large subunit ribosomal RNA
Rfam family: Bacterial large subunit ribosomal RNA
Source: Rfam by way of RNAcentral
GCGCAUACGGUGGAUGCCUUGUGCAGUCAGAGGCGAUGAGAGACGUGGUAGCCUGCGAUAAGCUCCGGGGAGUCGGCAAACAGACUUUGAUCCGGGGAUCUCUGAAUGGGGGAACCCACUCAGCAUAAGCUGAGUAUCUUGUACUGAAUACAUAGGUACAUGAGGCGAACCAGGGGAACUGAAACAUCUAAGUACCCUGAGGAAAAGAAAUCACCCGAGAUUCCCUUAUUAGUGGCGAGCGAACGGGGACCAGCCCUUAAGUUGAUUUGAGAGUAGCGGAACGCUCUGGAAAGUGCGGCCAUAGUGGGUGAUAGCCCUGUACGCGAAACGCUCUUAUCAAUGAAAUCGAGUAGGACGGGGCACGAGAAACCCUGUCUGAAUAUGGGGGGACCAUCCUCCAAGGCUAAAUACUCCUGACUGACCGAUAGUGAACCAGUACCGUGAGGGAAAGGCGAAAAGAACCCCGGAGAGGGGAGUGAAAUAGAACCUGAAACCGUAUGCGUACAAGCAGUGGGAGCCCACUUUGUUGGGUGACUGCGUACCUUUUGUAUAAUGGGUCAGCGACUUAUUUUCAGUGGCGAGCUUAACCGAAUAGGGGAGGCGUAGCGAAAGCGAGUCUUAAUAGGGCGUCUAGUCGCUGGGAAUAGACCCGAAACCGGGCGAUCUAUCCAUGAGCAGGUUGAAGGUUAGGUAACACUGACUGGAGGACCGAACCCACUUCCGUUGAAAAGGCAGGGGAUGACUUGUGGAUCGGAGUGAAAGGCUAAUCAAGCUCGGAGAUAGCUGGUUCUCCUCGAAAGCUAUUUAGGUAGCGCCUCAUGUAUCACUCUGGGGGGUAGAGCACUGUUUCGGCUAGGGGGUCAUCCCGACUUACCAAACCGAUGCAAACUCCGAAUACCCAGAAGUGCCGAGCAUGGGAGACACACGGCGGGUGCUAACGUCCGUCGUGAAAAGGGAAACCACCCAGACCGUCAGCUAAGGUCCCAAAGUCAUGGUUAAGUGGGAAACGAUGUGGGAAGGCUUAGACAGCUAGGAGGUUGGCUUAGAAGCAGCCACCCUUUAAAGAAAGCGUAAUAGCUCACUAGUCGAGUCGGCCUGCGCGGAAGAUGUAACGGGGCUCAAACCAUGCACCGAAGCUACGGGUAUCACUUAGGUGAUGCGGUAGAGGAGCGUUCUGUAAGCCUGUGAAGGUGAGUUGAGAAGCUUGCUGGAGGUAUCAGAAGUGCGAAUGCUGACAUGAGUAACGACAAUGGGAGUGAAAAACUCCCA